GCCGAUGUGGCGAAAUGGCAGACGCGGCGGACUUAAAAUCCUCUGUCCGAAAGGGCGUGCCGGUUCGAGUCCGGCCAUCGGUA
RNAcentral lists this transfer RNA (83 nucleotides) under bacterium. RNAcentral describes it as "tRNA-Leu". It matches the Rfam family "tRNA". From Rfam's summary of the family: Transfer RNA (tRNA) molecules are approximately 80 nucleotides in length. The record is from RNAcentral.